GGAGUCCAGACAGAAUCCUAACAGAUACAAACUAGAAAUACCUGGGAGAGAGAGCUUCUAUGAAUCACCUGCCUGUUCUUCCAGUUUCCGAUGAGGAUUGAGGAGAAAGACUCUUCAGGAAUCCUCCAGGCCUUUGGUGCCAGAUGGAUAUUGCUGAGACAUCAGCCUCAUGGACUGAGCAAGUACUGGGCUUCACCCUCUUCCCUGAGACAGCCAUUGUUGGACUAUUCUGACCACAACCUACAGCACGUGGGAGAACCAGUUGGAGCUGAUACCGACAGGUGUGGAACACCAUGGAGUUACCUUCUGCAGUGUUCUGCAAAGGGGUCCUACUCACUGUCUCACUUUUAACAUGCUGAAACACUCCAGUCAUAGCCAAACUAACUAUUGAAGUGCCAGCCAAUGUUGUUGAAGGGCACAGCAUUCUUCUACAUGUUCACAAUAAAUCACAGAAUUGGCAAGCCUU
Molecule: long non-coding RNA, 466 nt
Filed under: Mus caroli (Ryukyu mouse)
Lineage: Eukaryota; Metazoa; Chordata; Mammalia; Rodentia; Muridae
Description: lncRNA (MGP_CAROLIEiJ_G0004205.1)
Source: RNAcentral